Pongo pygmaeus (Bornean orangutan) is the source of this 619-nucleotide long non-coding RNA. RefSeq lists it as uncharacterized. The transcript is spliced from 2 exons. Lineage: Eukaryota; Metazoa; Chordata; Mammalia; Primates; Hominidae. The record is from RefSeq and is a predicted model, not a curated record.
AGUGGGAAUCCUGUCUCACCACAGCUCAGAUUCUACAUGGUACUACUUCUCCUGCAGCAUGUAAGCAAAAGCCCUGAGCACGAAUGAGGUCACUAAGGAAAGCAUAUGGGUGAGAGGGGCAGAAGAUACUGGAACACCUUGGGAAACACCAAUAUUUAAGGUCUCAAAAUUUAAUGUUUCUUUCUUCUUGAAAGAAACUAUGAAGAAAUAGCCAGAUUCAUGAGUAAGACCAAAACAUAAUAGGUGGGGAGAACAAGUGUAAGGAAGGGGGAAGGGGAAAACAAGGCCUAUUGUCAAGAGAAGUCACACAAACCAAGAAGAGAGUGUGUCCAUUGGAUUUUCAACUAUGAGAGUCUGGCCAAACUUGGCAGGAAGACUUUCAGCAAAAUGUCAAAGUGGACAUGGAGGUUGUUUGGAUUGAAGAGUUAUGCAUGUUCCCUUCCACCUACUAAUUCCAACUCGGGAAAUAAAAUCAAGAGACUGGAGCUGAGAAAAAACAAGAAGCAAACUUGAUUUAAGCUUCGAUUUUCCAUGUAACACAGCUUGAAAAUAGCAAGCUAUAUGACUCCUUGUGGGGAUAAUAAACAAUGCAAUGCAUUUCUCUGAAGGCUUCGAAAAA